Molecule: long non-coding RNA, 467 nt
Organism: Suncus etruscus (white-toothed pygmy shrew)
Lineage: Eukaryota; Metazoa; Chordata; Mammalia; Eulipotyphla; Soricidae
Exons: 3
Source: RefSeq, a predicted model, not a curated record
CAUGCCAGGCGAUGCCAAGCACCCCUGACAGCACUGAAGAGGAAUCCCAAAUGCAGGUUUCAUACUGCAGCCUGGUAAUGCUGUGUUGAUUGCUUCAUGAAAGGAAACGAACAGCUGUAUUGAUGCUUCCCAGACAAGUCACGGUGAAGCAUGGAACUCUCCCAGCUGGGUAUCCACUGAUGCUGUGACAAAGGGAUCCAUUGGGGUUGAGACUCUGCUCAGUGACAUCUCUCCUCCCUCACAACCCUGUUUCUUCUUCAUUGGACAUCAUUGAUGUUGCUGAGAAAAUAUAACUUGGACUCAUCUAUGUGUUCUGAGGGCAUGAAGGAACUUCAGUCUUUUAUAUAGAUUUUCUACCUGAUGACAUUGAGUGGAUCCAGUUUCACUAAAUUACACUAUGGAGCCAUUGGAGAGGUAUCAAGUUAAAUUAUACAAUUUCCUUUGAUUCUGGAAGCUCACAAGGUAAA